Gallus gallus (chicken) is the source of this 2663-nucleotide long non-coding RNA. The record is from Ensembl. NCBI's taxonomy places the organism in Eukaryota, Metazoa, Chordata, Aves, Galliformes, Phasianidae.
UUUUUUUUCCAAGAGGAAUUUCAGUUUUGCUGAAAGGUUUUAUUUCCGAGCAGUUGCAGCCUUGGCAAUGCCCAACUGGGAAGCUCUUUGCAAUGGAGCACAAUGCAGCCCCGGAAGAUGGAGAGCACAGUCAGUUUUCUGCCCGUUUUACAGAUCGGAAGGCUGAGGUGUGAUCUACCCUUCAUUUUAUUCCAUGCUUCAAGGUCUGGUGGUUGGCGACCCUCCACAUAGCAGGGGGGUUGAAAUGAGGUGUUCAUUGUGGUCCUUUUCAACCCAGGCCGUUCUUUGAUUCUAUGAUCACUGAAUCAUAGGAACUGUGAUGCCUUCUACGGAGCAUGAGCUCCCUAGUAAAUUCAAUACAACAAUCUAAAAAAAAAAUAAAAAAUCCCAUUUUAAGUUUAAACAUAACCAAAGAUUAAAGCAAGAGCACCUUAUGUACAAAAUGACAUUCCUCCCUUUGAGCAGGCAAAGAAUUGGAGACUCCAAGGAUAUUAUUGUUGAUUUAGGUAAACCACAGCUCUCCAAGCCUUGCAUGCUGUCCCCAAUGGGACAGUAGCAGCAUCCUUAGAGGGACACAGUUGUGGAAAAUGUCUAAAAUAGGAUAAAGCAGUGUUGAAGCACUGAUUGAGGUGGUGUGUUUGCUGCAGUGGCCCUGGACAUCUGCUGGGUUUUGGGUGUAGGACUUGAAGCUUGGUGUCCAGUGAGUGCUCCAGCAGCAGAGGUGAUCAAGGGCUAGGAGAGGGAGGACGGCCUUCACUUCUGCCUUGGAUCAGAAGUGCUCCCAUAGCAUAACAAACCAUUUUUGUUUUAAUUUUCUUUUGGACAAGUUGAGAUUUUCUAAGAAAAGAAAAGAAAACAGACUCCUGAUGUACUCCAACCUGUGCCAGUUUCUACCCACUCGUGCAAAGGAUGUGGGCAGUGAGGGUCAGAGGACUUGUGGGACCAGACUGAGAGUGAAAAACAGGUUUCUGAGGGCUCCUAUGACAAAUAACUUUUGUAUUAAGGAGUCUUUCAGAUAGAGGCAGAAUUGUAUUUUCACACCCCAGGUAGAAAGGAUGCAGACACCAGGUGGAAUUUGUAGUGCUCCCUUUCCUGCAUCCCCAGCUGCCACAGGCGUUUGAAGAUUUCAGAUGGGGAAAUAAAUGAAUGGAUUUCUCCAAACCUCAUUCCUUGCACAAUCCUUUCACUCUUCAGGGGUACCAAAAUGAGCUCAGCCCAAGGAUGCUUGCGCCAAUUUGUGUGUGCAACAAAGGGAAUGAAAUGCAUACUUCAGCAAAAGGUUUGGUGUCCUACAACACAGAGCAUACUGCUGCUCAGAGGGCUGGCCUCAGAGACCUCAGGAAAGCCACUCAAACAGAAGCUCAUGGCUGAAAUAUGUGAAUUUCCAAAAAGCUGUGAUGUUGGCCUUCAUCAGGCAAACCAUGAUCAUACAGCGAGCAAUGCUGCCUGGGAAGCAGUGACCAAAAAGGAUCUGAGGUCCAACUGUUAAGUCCCAACACCCAAUGUGAUGCUAUGGACAAUGAAGCUGAUGGGGCAUUGUGUGUUUGACGUGGAAGAGUGCAGUGCGUCUGCAGCCCUCGCUUUUGUGAGCUCUCUGCCAGGCUUGGAACUGCCCCAGAUCUGAUGAUGAACCUGCAGAAGAGAGCAGGAGGUGGACAGAAGGUUUCCUUGAGGAAAGAUUCUGAGAACUCAAAUGGGAUCUCAAGUUAUGAAGGUACAGAUUAAAGGCCAUGAGAAGAUGUACAGAGAUAACUGUGGUGAGCUUGGAGGGACCACAUUCAUCCAUUCUGAGCUGCACUCAGUCAUUGGAUCAUCAGAGAAUCAUAGAAUGUCCCAAGUUGGCAGCAACCUCAACGAUCCUUGAGUCCAGCUCCUGGCUCCCUGCAGGACCACACAAGAACCAAACCAUAUGUCUGAGAGUGUUGUCUGAAUUCUUCUUGAACUCCAUGAGGCCUGGUGUCAUGACCACUGCCCUGGGGAGCCUACAAAGAAAGUAAAGCCUGAAUGCACGCUAAAGCCUCUCCUGCUGUGCUGCUUGUUCCAGCCUGGUAGGAGGAAGCUCAGCCCUCCUUAUGGAUCUGUCCUCAGAUAUGGGAAGAAGGUACAAAACACAGCAUAUAGAGCAACCAGUAGCUGUUACUGCUAGACGUCACAUAUUGAAGUCCUGCACUACCUCUAGACGUGGACACUGGGAAGAGACAGAGCAAAUAUCAGAUGUGUGCAUCAGCAGAACAGCCAACAGCUCCAGGAAUUCUGCAGGAGCAUCUCCAUUCCUCAGGGGCUCAUCGAGAUUGACAGUGUUUGUCAUGGGAAACGAAAACUUUCAGCAUUUCCAUUUGGAAGAGAGAAGUGCAAGGAGAAAGCUGCAUUCAGACUCUGUCAUCCCACUUUGUUUUGACUUCUGUGCUAAACCAAGACAAAACAGGAUGAAGCAAGACUCUGUGAAGCUAAAAUAAAGUUUUUUUUUUUUAAUCCCAAUAUGCUGAGAUUAAAAAAAAAUAAAAUAAAAUACCCGUGAGAGAUUUCAAAAUGUCAGCUAUCAAUUUUUGACAGAAAUUUUAAAGUUUUUGAAGGCACAAAAAUCUCUCUUGCCCAGGAAGUCUAAACUAAAGCCUCCAAAUGUCCCUACUGGGAGACAGGAUAAAUUAUAUUGCUGUUAAGAG